This 1456-nucleotide long non-coding RNA is filed under the name Homo sapiens (human). RNAcentral describes it as "HSALNT0366500". The record is from RNAcentral. Lineage: Eukaryota; Metazoa; Chordata; Mammalia; Primates; Hominidae.
GGAAGCGUGAAAUGUGAAACGUGGAGUGUACGUGGGAAAGAAGAGCAAUAAAAGGACCUGCAGCUAAAGAGGCAACGUGGUCGGGUGAGAGGAGGGGAUGGGGAUGGAAACUCACACAGCUGAGUGGGGCUAAAAGGGACGUUUGAGGAUUACUGGCCUAGCACAAAACAUCUGCCCUUAAGGCGAAACCCUCUUAAAACCUUUGGCGGCUUUCCAGAGAAGACGCCGAUUCCUGAAAAUUGCAAGGCUCUCCGGCGGGCUGGGAGUGGGAGGCGCUCCCGGUGUCCCCCAGCAUGUGGGAGUCGGCGGGACCUGAGCCCCGCCUUCCUGCAGCGGCCGGGACGUGCCGUGUGGCACGCUACCCGCCGCGCGCGCAUCCUGUCCCCCGCCCUCGGAAUCCCAGCACGGGGGCCGAGCCCCGAGCUACAUUCCUCCUCCUCCUUCUUCGCCACCCAAAGACUCACGCAUACACACAUUUUUCUUUCGUAUCUGCUGUCUCAGCCUCCCUCGGGCCAAUUUGGGUAAAUGCGUCCAAGAGGAAGAAAUAAAAAUGAAAAGACUGACAGUUUAAAAGCAUGUGGAGGGCUUAGAAGAUAAAGACGAGUGCAAGAAAGGGAGAGCGCGGCCGGCCGCGGUGUCUCACGCCUGUCAUCCUAGCACUUUGGGAGGCCGAAGAGAUCGGAUCACUUGAGAGUAUCGAGCUGUCGCCCAGGCUGGAGUGCAAUGGCAUGAUCUUGGCUCACUGCAACCUCUGCCUCCCGCGUUCUAAGUGAUUCUCCUUCCUCAGCCUCCCGAAUAGCUGGGAUUAUAGGCACGCACCAUCAUGCAUGGCUAAUUUUGUAUUUUUAGUAGAGAUGGGGUUUCCCCAUGUUGGCCAGGCUGGUCUCGAACUCCUGAUCUCAGGUUAUCCACCCGCCUCAGCCUCUCCAAGUGCUGGGAUUACAAGUGUGAGCCACCGCACCCCGCCCUAAUCUCAGCCUUUUUAUAUCUUCUUGGUAGGCCCACUUUUUGGCAUCCCCUAACAAGAAGUCCUCAGAGAUUUUUACUACUCAACAUGUGUGCGUCCCACUCAGAUGUAUUGUGUUCUUUCUGUUCACCCUCUACUUCCCAUUCCAUUUCUUCCUCUGACUUAGGGUUAGAAUGGCCCAAUGAUCCUACAACUUUUUGAUGCUAUUUCAUUUGAUUCCUCUACUGUCUAAAUCACAAGUUGGCUAACUUUACUUACUGUAAGGGAUCAGAUAGCAAAUAGUUUAGGCCUUGUGGGCCAUUCAAUCUGUCAUAACUACCCACUCUGACCAUAUGUAGUGCAAAAGCAGCCCUUGACAAUAUAUAAAUGAAUGAACGUGAAUGUAUUUCAAUAAAGCUUUACUUGUGGACACUGAAAUUUGAAUUUUAUAUCAUUUUCACAAGCCACAAAAUAAUUAUUUUGAUUCCCCCCCACCCUCAAUCAUUUAAA